Molecule: long non-coding RNA, 1132 nt
Organism: Brassica napus (rape)
Lineage: Eukaryota; Viridiplantae; Streptophyta; Magnoliopsida; Brassicales; Brassicaceae
Exons: 4
Source: RefSeq, a predicted model, not a curated record
AAUCCAAUAUCAGACAAAUAAAAGAUAAUAAAAAACAGAAAAGCAGGAGAGAGAAAGAGGGAGAGCAUCUCGCAGAUCAUACUGUCAGAUACACAUAUCUAGUUUAUUGUCCACAGACUGAUUUUUUCUUUAAAAAAUAAAAUUUAAUUAGGUAAUUUAGUUUGUUUAAAAUAUUAAUAUUCCGAUGUUUUAAGAAAUCCAUGCAGUUUCAUACCAAUAGUGUUGCUCUUAGAGCACGUUCAACGCGGUCUCUUAAGCCCAUAUUUAGCGCUUAAUACGCGACUAAAAGAAAUGAAAAAAGACAAAACCCGAAGGCACGUCUAAAUUAAGAGCGCGAAGAUACGUAUGUUAAGGGGCAUGUGUUACACAAUUAUUGGUUUGGGCAACGGUGGAGACGCGCUUCGUUCCAUCUUCUUUCUUUCUCUCUUUCGGUUUCUCUCAUCUCGAUGACGAGAAAGGCGAUUCCUCUGCUGUCGGUGUCUCUUUUCUCGUCGACUCUUCGGUGACGUCUCCUCUCGUCGAGGAAGGAAAAAGGCGACGUCUCUAUCGCUGGCUCUGCUCGACGAAGGAUGACGACGAUUUCUCCCCCUCUUUGACUCAGUGGCUCUCCUCGGCGAUACGGAAAUGUCUCUCUCGAAACGAAGGAAAACGACGAUCUGUCUAUUGGCGGUUCUCGGAGACGCAGAUAAACGCCGCCGAGUGUUGUUCAUGGGAAUCAAAAGUGGGAACAUGGAUGGAUCAAGACACUCGGGGUGGCUCUCUGAGACGAAAAUAAACGGUGUAUGUUGCUCAGGCGUAUGAAACGUCGGGAGAUGGAUGGAUGAAGACGCAUGAUCCAGGUUCGCCAGACCAAAGGCGUACGCUUGUUGAUAGAGGUCAAGACAGUGUGAAAUAGUGGAGCAUUGGGAGUGGAAGUAUCACGGAGUGUCUAUGGUCUUGGAGUCUUGUGUCACGAGUCUUGGUAUCUUGUAUCAGUCUUGUGUUGGUUGCUUGUGUCAAGGAGUGUUGUAUCAGACUUUGUGUUGGUUGUAGUUUAACUCUCAGCCUUGGAGUAUUGUGUUGUAGUACUUGUGUCACGGUCUUGUAUCAGACUUUGGUUCUCUAUAUUAAGUAAUGUUGCGUUGAAGUUUUA